CAGUCGACGAACUCUGGUAUUGAUUGGUGCUUGCAUCAUGAUUUACAUUUGAGUGAGUGGCGAACUGGUGAGUAACACGUGGGAAACCUGCCCAGAAGCGGGGGAUAACACCUGGAAACAGAUGCUAAUACCGCAUAACAACUUGGACCGCAUGGUCCGAGUUUGAAAGAUGGCUUCGGCUAUCACUUUUGGAUGGUCCCGCGGCGUAUUAGCUAGAUGGUGGGGUAACGGCUCACCAUGGCAAUGAUACGUAGCCGACCUGAGAGGGUAAUCGGCCACAUUGGGACUGAGACACGGCCCAAACUCCUACGGGAGGCAGCAGUAGGGAAUCUUCCACAAUGGACGAAAGUCUGAUGGAGCAACGCCGCGUGAGUGAAGAAGGGUUUCGGCUCGUAAAACUCUGUUGUUAAAGAAGAACAUAUCUGAGAGUAACUGUUCAGGUAUUGACGGUAUUUAACCAGAAAGCCACGGCUAACUACGUGCCAGCAGCCGCGGUAAUACGUAGGUGGCAAGCGUUGUCCGGAUUUAUUGGGCGUAAAGCGAGCGCAGGCGGUUUUUUAAGUCUGAUGUGAAAGCCUUCGGCUCAACCGAAGAAGUGCAUCGGAAACUGGGAAACUUGAGUGCAGAAGAGGACAGUGGAACUCCAUGUGUAGCGGUGAAAUGCGUAGAUAUAUGGAAGAACACCAGUGGCGAAGGCGGCUGUCUGGUCUGUAACUGACGCUGAGGCUCGAAAGUAUGGGUAGCAAACAGGAUUAGAUACCCUGGUAGUCCAUACCGUAAACGAUGAAUGCUAAGUGUUGGAGGG
RNAcentral lists this ribosomal RNA (805 nucleotides) under Lactiplantibacillus plantarum. Its description in RNAcentral is "bacterial SSU rRNA". It matches the Rfam family "Bacterial small subunit ribosomal RNA", at positions 59 to 830 of the family's 1533-position model. Lineage: Bacteria; Bacillati; Bacillota; Bacilli; Lactobacillales; Lactobacillaceae. The record is from RNAcentral.